Molecule: ribosomal RNA, 1431 nt
Filed under: Salmonella enterica subsp. enterica serovar Newport str. SHSN002
Lineage: Bacteria; Pseudomonadati; Pseudomonadota; Gammaproteobacteria; Enterobacterales; Enterobacteriaceae
Description: bacterial SSU rRNA
Rfam family: Bacterial small subunit ribosomal RNA
Source: RNAcentral
GAGUAAUGUCUGGGAAACUGCCUGAUGGAGGGGGAUAACUACUGGAAACGGUGGCUAAUACCGCAUAACGUCGCAAGACCAAAGAGGGGGACCUUCGGGCCUCUUGCCAUCAGAUGUGCCCAGAUGGGAUUAGCUAGUUGGUGAGGUAAUGGCUCACCAAGGCGACGAUCCCUAGCUGGUCUGAGAGGAUGACCAGCCACACUGGAACUGAGACACGGUCCAGACUCCUACGGGAGGCAGCAGUGGGGAAUAUUGCACAAUGGGCGCAAGCCUGAUGCAGCCAUGCCGCGUGUAUGAAGAAGGCCUUCGGGUUGUAAAGUACUUUCAGCGGGGAGGAAGGUGUUGCGGUUAAUAACCGCAGCAAUUGACGUUACCCGCAGAAGAAGCACCGGCUAACUCCGUGCCAGCAGCCGCGGUAAUACGGAGGGUGCAAGCGUUAAUCGGAAUUACUGGGCGUAAAGCGCACGCAGGCGGUCUGUCAAGUCGGAUGUGAAAUCCCCGGGCUCAACCUGGGAACUGCAUUCGAAACUGGCAGGCUUGAGUCUUGUAGAGGGGGGUAGAAUUCCAGGUGUAGCGGUGAAAUGCGUAGAGAUCUGGAGGAAUACCGGUGGCGAAGGCGGCCCCCUGGACAAAGACUGACGCUCAGGUGCGAAAGCGUGGGGAGCAAACAGGAUUAGAUACCCUGGUAGUCCACGCCGUAAACGAUGUCUACUUGGAGGUUGUGCCCUUGAGGCGUGGCUUCCGGAGCUAACGCGUUAAGUAGACCGCCUGGGGAGUACGGCCGCAAGGUUAAAACUCAAAUGAAUUGACGGGGGCCCGCACAAGCGGUGGAGCAUGUGGUUUAAUUCGAUGCAACGCGAAGAACCUUACCUGGUCUUGACAUCCACAGAACUUUCCAGAGAUGGAUUGGUGCCUUCGGGAACUGUGAGACAGGUGCUGCAUGGCUGUCGUCAGCUCGUGUUGUGAAAUGUUGGGUUAAGUCCCGCAACGAGCGCAACCCUUAUCCUUUGUUGCCAGCGGUUAGGCCGGGAACUCAAAGGAGACUGCCAGUGAUAAACUGGAGGAAGGUGGGGAUGACGUCAAGUCAUCAUGGCCCUUACGACCAGGGCUACACACGUGCUACAAUGGCGCAUACAAAGAGAAGCGACCUCGCGAGAGCAAGCGGACCUCAUAAAGUGCGUCGUAGUCCGGAUUGGAGUCUGCAACUCGACUCCAUGAAGUCGGAAUCGCUAGUAAUCGUGGAUCAGAAUGCCACGGUGAAUACGUUCCCGGGCCUUGUACACACCGCCCGUCACACCAUGGGAGUGGGUUGCAAAAGAAGUAGGUAGCUUAACCUUCGGGAGGGCGCUUACCACUUUGUGAUUCAUGACUGGGGUGAAGUCGUAACAAGGUAACCGUAGGGGAACCUGCGGUUGGAUCACCUCCUUACCU